AUGGAGAUCGUGCUUUGGCUGUUAUGGCCGACGCUCGCGGUCGUCUCGCUCCUCUACUGCCUGGCACACACACGCCGUGCGGGCACGGGGCGGAUGCCACCGGGUCCCACGCCGCUCCCUCUCGUCGGCAACGUGCUCAGCCUCGGCGGCAACCUCCACCACACCCUCGCGCGCCUCGCUCGCGCCUACGGCCCCGUCAUGACGCUCAAGCUUGGCCUCACCACCGCCGUGAUCGUGUCCUCGCGCGAUGCGGCUUGGGAGGCAUUGACGAAGCAUGACCGGCGGCUGGCUGCGCACGCCAUCCCAGACGCCGCACGCGCGCUCGGCCACUCCGACCGGUCCAUGAUAUGGCUGCCCAGCUCCGACCCGCUCUGGAAGAGCCUGCGCGGCAUCGUGGCCACCAACGUCUUCUCCCCGCGCAGCCUCGCCGUGGCGCUCGACGUCCGCCAGCGUAAGGUGCGGGACAUGGUGAGUUACUUCCGCGACUGCGCCGGCACAGAGUUGGACGUCGGCCAGGCACUGUACGGCGGCGUGCUAAACCUCGUGUCGAGCUCGUUCUGCUCCGUCGACGUGGUCGACAUGGGCGGCCAGUCGGCCCAGGGGGUGCGGAAGCUCGUUGAGGACCUCAUCGAGGUGAUCGCGAAGCCGAAUGUCUCCGAUCUUUUCCCUUUCCUUGGACCCCUCGACUUGCAAGGAUGGCGUCGCUGGACGGAGAUACGCUUCGAGAAAAUCUUCCUCAUAUUGGAUGGCAUAAUUGACCGUCGCAUGGCAGCUGCCAACGCCUCCACGGAGAAGCAAGGUGACUUCCUGGACUCGCUCCUCGAGCUCUUGUCCACAGGCAAGAUGGCUCGCGACAGCCUGACAACCAUAGUGUUCGAGGUCAUUGCGGCCGGGAGCGACGCCAUGUCCAUCACCCUAGAGUGGGCAAUGGCGGAGCUGCUUCGGAACCCAAGCGUCAUGGCAAAGGUCCGCGCGGAGAUAGACGAUGCUCUUGGCGGCAAGGAGACCAUCGGCGAGACCGACGCGGCGAGCCUGCCGUACCUGCAAGCCGUGGUAAAGGAGGCUAUGCGGCUGCACCCGGUGGCGGCGAUACUGCUGCCACACCGGGCCGUGGAGGAAGGCGUGCAGAUCGGCGGCUACGCCGUGCCGAACGGCUCAACGGUCAUUUUCAACGCGUGGGCGAUGAUGCGGGACCCGGCGGCGUGGGAGAGAUCCCACGAGUUCGUCCCGGAGAGGUUCCUGGGCAAGGCGGACCAGGUGGUGGACUUCCGGGGCAAGGCCUUCGAGUUCAUCCCGUUUGGGUCCGGCCGGCGGCUGUGCCCCGGCGUGCCGAUGGCGGAGCGCGUGGUGCCGUUCAUCCUGGCCUCGCUGCUGCACGCGUUCGAGUGGCGGCUACCGGACGGCGGUUCCGCGGCGGAGUUGGACGUGAGCGAGAGAUUUACCACUGCCAACGUCAUGGCUGUCCCACUCAAGGCCGUGCCCGUCGUGAUCACCUAA
This 1497-nucleotide ribosomal RNA is filed under the name Triticum aestivum (bread wheat). Its description in RNAcentral is "partial small subunit ribosomal RNA". Lineage: Eukaryota; Viridiplantae; Streptophyta; Magnoliopsida; Poales; Poaceae. The record is from RNAcentral.